ACCCUGAUGCAGCCAUGCCGCGUGUGUGAAGAAGGCCUUCGGGUUGUAAAGCACUUUCAGCGAGGAGGAAAGGUUGGCGCCUAAUACGUGUCAACUGUGACGUUACUCGCAGUAAGUAAGCACCGGCUAACUCCGUGCCAGCAGCCGCGGUAAUACGGAGGGUGCAAGCGUUAAUCGGAAUUACUGGGCGCAAAGCGCACGCAGGCGGUUGGAUAAGUUAGAUGUGAAAGCCCCGGGCUCAACCUGGGAAUUGCAUUUAAAACUGUCCAGCUAGAGUCUUGUAGAGGGGGGUAGAAUUCCAGGUGUAGCGGUGAAAUGCGUAGAGAUCUGGAGGAAUACCGGUGGCGAAGGCGGCCCCCUGGACAAAGACUGACGCUCAGGUGCGAAAGCGGUGGGGAGCAAACAGGGAUUAAAUACCCUGGGUAGUCCACGCCGUAAACGAUGUCGAUUUGGAGGCUGUGUCCUUGAGACGUGGCUUCCGGAGCUAACGCGUUAAAUCGACCGCCUGGGGAGUAC
This 516-nucleotide ribosomal RNA is filed under the name uncultured Aeromonas sp. RNAcentral describes it as "bacterial SSU rRNA". It matches the Rfam family "Bacterial small subunit ribosomal RNA", at positions 380 to 883 of the family's 1533-position model. Lineage: Bacteria; Pseudomonadati; Pseudomonadota; Gammaproteobacteria; Aeromonadales; Aeromonadaceae. The record is from RNAcentral.